Molecule: unclassified non-coding RNA, 1763 nt
Filed under: Leishmania donovani
Lineage: Eukaryota; Euglenozoa; Kinetoplastea; Trypanosomatida; Trypanosomatidae
Description: gene:unknown
Source: RNAcentral
CUGUGCACACAGCCCUCGCACCUCUGGACACUGCGGCCUGCUUCACGGGGACGCUGCUGUCCGUCGGGGGUUUCCUGUUCUCCAUCUUCCAUUUCCGUCGAUGCCGCAGGGAGGGGGCCGUGUGUGGACGGCCUGCCCGCAUGCGCCGCGGCAGGUGGGGCACUGCCACGAGUCUGUGGCAGCAAGGGGAGGGGGGGCCCCCACCCCCUCCUGCGCCCGCACGCCCUUCACAGGCGUGGGUGGGCCCAGGCGGAGGGGCGCCGCGGAUGCACGCGUGCCUGCGCACCAAGAGCGCAUAGCGCGUCCUCCUGACUGAGCACAGGGGGAGGGAAGCGGCGGGCGCUCGCCGGGGAAAGCCCAGGCAGCGCGCGUGGCAUGUGCGCAACAGCAACAUUGCGUGCGCAAUCGCUGCCUGAACCGAGGUGUGCCUCGAACGAUCCGCAAACCCCGCGUAGCAUACCGCGCGCAACGCCGGGCCGGAUGCCCUCACGGCACAGCGCAGGCGGGAGAGUCGAGGCUCUGGCGGCGGUUUGGGCAGCACAGCGCUGGCGCGCUAGAAGGCGGCACGCCCUCGGCACUCCAUGCUGCCGCCGCCACCCACCCGCCGCUGCAGCAAUCAAAAGCACGGUCAGGGGCGCGUGCGCGGCUGCGCGAGCAUCGCCUCCUAUCGUCCCGUAAGCGCAGCUUCGGGCAAUGCCGCGCUGGCGUCUGAGACCGGUGGCCAAGGCCGUGAUCCGUGCGUUUUUUUUUUUCGGAUAUUGUUGUGCUGUCGGUGAGGCUAUCGUGUUCACGUUGUCGUGGCGCGCGUACUACUAUUAAACGCAGAGGUUCGGAAGCGUAAGAUGGGCUGUACCAACCAUUAGCUCCAUCACGACCCGAAUUAUUUGGAGGAUACGAAUCUAAACCCUUGUAGGGCGGGGUGCUGAGUGCCAUGAGGUGAGUGAGUGAAUCUGCGAGAAAAGGCCGCACGUGGUUUUCUGUGACCCUGUUGAUCCUGCUGUGUUGGUGGCACGUCAAACCCCGUUUUCAUUCUCUAGCACCUGACGGGUUAGCUGCAAGGGAGUGUACUGCAUCCUCUUGUCGCUGCUUGCUAGAGUUGUUGCAUUAUCGUACACCAUUGCGGCAGCUCCUGCAGUGAAGUUUCUGUGCGAUGCUUGGCCCGUCUACAGGCAGCAACGGCACUUCACAGAACGACAGAGUCGCUGCUUCUGUGGUGAUGGAUUUUAGUUGGCCUACAGAGUCGGGCCGCAUCUGCUAAAGUUGUGGUAUAGGCAACACGCGACCGCUGCGCAGGCGGGAGGUGCCUGCGCGCAGUGAUGCUACGAGAGCCGAUGCUGGCGUAUCCGCAUGAGAACUGCUAAAGUGCUAUGCCGAGACAGCUAUCCGGCGUGUGCACCUGCCGCCUCAAAUGCGCAAUGGAGCCUCGUCGCGUGAGUGCGGAGAGACAAAGGCGUGAGGGCAGCGCAACAGCGCGAAGGAGUUGAGGGGCAGCAGAUCGGCCUCGUUGCGGAGGUGCCUCUUGUGCUCUUAUCGAUGGAGAACAAAGCAUGCGGAUUUGUAAUUGUCUUCGCGCCGUGCAGCUCGGCGUUUCGUUGCAGUUUUUCGUGGUCUUUUGCGUGUGAAGGUGGAGGUGCUCUUCAACGCUCCAUGACCCUGGGACCGGGCGCUCACGUGCCGUCCGUGUAUGUGUAGGUACUACUAUGUGGUAGGUCUUCUUCUGCUUUGAACUCCUCCGUGCCGCGGGACGUUCGCGGAGACACAUG